This 898-nucleotide ribosomal RNA is filed under the name uncultured archaeon. RNAcentral describes it as "bacterial SSU rRNA". It matches the Rfam family "Archaeal small subunit ribosomal RNA", at positions 1 to 878 of the family's 1478-position model. The record is from RNAcentral.
CUCCGGUUGAUCCGCCCGGACCCGACUGCUAUCGGAUUGGGAUUUAGCCAUGUUAGUUGUGCGUUCCUGGCUACAGGCGCGCAGCGUACGGCUCAGUAACACGUAGUCAACCUGCCCUGGAGACGUGGACAAGCCCGGGAAACUGGGGCUGAUCCGCGAUAGAUGACCUCAUCUGGAAGGAGAGGUCGUCCAAAAGGCGGCACGGGUAUGCUCUGUGCUAUUCGCUCCAGGAUGGGACUGCGGCCGAUCAGGCUGUUGGCGGGGUAAUGGCCCACCAAACCUAUAACCGGUACGGGCUCUGAGAGGAGAAGCCCGGAGAUGGGCACUGAGACAAGGGCCCAGGCCCUAUGGGGCGCAGCAGGCGCGAAACCUCUGCAAUAGGCGAAAGCCUGACAGGGUUACUCUGAGUGAUUUCCGCUAAGGGGAUCUUUUGGCACCUCUAAAAAUGGUGCAGAAUAAGGGGUGGGCAAGUCUGGUGUCAGCCGCCGCGGUAAUACCAGCACCCCGAGUGGUCGGAACGAUUAUUGGGCCUAAAGCAUCCGUAGCCGGUUCUGCAAGUCUUCCGUUAAAUCCAGCCGCUCAACGGAUGGGCCGCGGAGGAUACUACAGGACUAGGAGGCGGGAGAGGCAAGCGGUACUCAGUGGGUAGGGGUAAAAUCCUUUGAUCCAUUGAAGACCACCAGUGGCGAAGGCGGUCUGCCAGAACACGUUCGACGGUGAGGGAUGAAAGCUGGGGGAGCAAACCGGAUUAGAUACCCGGGUAGUCCCAGCUGUAAACGAUGCAAACUCGGUGAUGCAUUGGCUUAUGGCCAAUGCAGUGCCGCAGGGAAGCCGUUAAGUCUGCCGCCUGGGGAGUACGGUCGCAAGACUGAAACUUAAAGGAAUUGGCGGGGGAGCA